This 468-nucleotide ribosomal RNA is filed under the name uncultured bacterium. RNAcentral's name for it is "partial 16S ribosomal RNA". It matches the Rfam family "Bacterial small subunit ribosomal RNA", at positions 28 to 507 of the family's 1533-position model. The record is from RNAcentral.
GACGAACGCUGGCGGCGUGCUUAACACAUGCAAGUCGAACGGAAAGGCCCUGCUUUUGUGGGGUGCACGAGUGGCGAACGGGUGAGUAACACGUGAGUAACCUGCCCUUGACUUUGGGAUAACUUCAGGAAACUGGGGCUAAUACCGGAUAGGAGCUCCUGCUGCAUGGUGGGGGUUGGAAAGUUUCGGCGGUUGGGGAUGGACUCGCGGCUUAUCAGCUUGUUGGUGGGGUAGUGGCUUACCAAGGCUUUGACGGGUAGCCGGCCUGAGAGGGUGACCGGCCACAUUGGGACUGAGAUACGGCACAGACUCCUACGGGAGGCAGCAGUGGGGAAUAUUGCACAAUGGGAGGAAGCCUGAUGCAGCAACGCCGCGUGCGGGAUGACGGCCUUCGGGUUGUAAACCGCUUUCGCCUGUGACGAAGCGUGAGUGACGGUAAUGGGUAAAGAAGCACCGGCUAACUACGUG